GCUCGUCUGGGCGAGGAUGAAUAGUAAUUAGGCCCAGAGCGUCUUGGUCGGUAUUACCGGCUGGGGGGGUAG
This 72-nucleotide ribozyme is filed under the name unclassified sequences. RNAcentral describes it as "pistol ribozyme". It matches the Rfam family "Pistol ribozyme". The record is from RNAcentral.